UACGUAGGCAGCAAGCGUUGUUCGGAAUUACUGGGCGUAAAGCGCACGUAGGCGGCUUUUUAAGUCAGGGGUGAAAUCCCGGGGCUCAACCCCGGAACUGCCCUUGAAACUGGAGAGCUAGAAUCUUGGAGAGGCGAGUGGAAUUCCGAGUGUAGAGGUGAAAUUCGUAGAUAUUCGGAAGAACACCAGUGGCGAAGGCGACUCGCUGGACAAGUAUUGACGCUGAGGUGCGAAAGCGUGGGGAGCAAACAGG
Molecule: ribosomal RNA, 253 nt
Filed under: uncultured bacterium
Lineage: Bacteria
Description: partial 16S ribosomal RNA
Rfam family: Bacterial small subunit ribosomal RNA
Source: RNAcentral